Molecule: ribosomal RNA, 429 nt
Filed under: uncultured bacterium
Lineage: Bacteria
Description: bacterial SSU rRNA
Rfam family: Bacterial small subunit ribosomal RNA
Source: RNAcentral
UGGGGAAUUUUGGACAAUGGGGGAAACCCUGAUCCAGCAAUGCCGCGUGCAGGAUGAAGGCCUUCGGGUUGUAAACUGCUUUUGUACGGAACGAAAAGACUCUUUCUAAUAAAGAGGGUCCAUGACGGUACCGUAAGAAUAAGCACCGGCUAACUACGUGCCAGCAGCCGCGGUAAUACGUAGGGUGCAAGCGUUAAUCGGAAUUACUGGGCGUAAAGCGUGCGCAGGCGGUUAUGUAAGACAGAUGUGAAAUCCCCGGGCUCAACCUGGGAAUUGCAUUAGUGACUGCAUAGCUAGAGUGCGGCAGAGGGGGAUGGAAUUCCGCGUGUAGCAGUGAAAUGCGUAGAUAUGCGGAGGAACACCGAUGGCGAAGGCAAUCCCCUGGGCCUGCACUGACGCUCAUGCACGAAAGCGUGGGGAGCAAACAGG